This is a non-coding RNA of Fructobacillus fructosus KCTC 3544, 91 nucleotides long. Lineage: Bacteria; Bacillati; Bacillota; Bacilli; Lactobacillales; Lactobacillaceae. The record is from Rfam.
GGAGAGGUGUCCGAGUCAGGCUUAAGGAGCACGGUUGGAAACCGUGUAAGCGGUUAACGCCGCUUCGAGGGUUCGAAUCCCUUCUUCUCCA